CGGCAGUGGGGCCGGAGCCGCUGCCCCCCCCCAAGAAGCGCUACCCCACGGCAGAGGAGAUCCAGGUCAUCGGGGGGUACCUGGCGCUGCCGCGCUCCUGCCUGGCCAAGAGCCACCCCCACCGCAAGAAGCUGAAGAUCUGGUUCAGCGAGCGGGACCUGGAGCGCACCUUCUCUUACCCAUCGGAGGGGGCGCUGCUGGCGGCCUGGGGACCCCCCGAGGAGCCCCCGCCCCCCCCAGGGCCCGCCCCCGACGAUGAAGAGGAGGAGGAGGAGCCCCCCCAUGGGCGGGGGGGGCCGGGGGGGCUGCGGGCGCGAGCCUUGCUCGUGGAUGAAUCCUGCCGCCGGUAACCCCGGCCUCUGCCCCACGGCCGGGGGGGGGGG
Molecule: long non-coding RNA, 383 nt
Organism: Neopsephotus bourkii (Bourke's parrot)
Lineage: Eukaryota; Metazoa; Chordata; Aves; Psittaciformes; Psittacidae
Exons: 3
Source: RefSeq, a predicted model, not a curated record